AAUAGGAUAUGAUAAGUAUCAUAUCCUAUCGUAUCCUUUCCUGUUCACCAAACGGGCCCAUAAUGCAGAUAAGUAUAUGAAAUUGAAGCUUAAUUUCCUUUAUUCAUGAAAAUUUAGGAUAAGUUUUACAAAAAAAAAACAAAAUGAACAGUUGAUAGCCUUUGUAACAAAACAACUUUAGUAAAGUCGUAAAGAAACUCUCUUGAGCUGAAG
This 213-nucleotide long non-coding RNA is filed under the name Lotus japonicus. Its description in RNAcentral is "long non-coding RNA (LJAP_LNC000370)". Lineage: Eukaryota; Viridiplantae; Streptophyta; Magnoliopsida; Fabales; Fabaceae. The record is from RNAcentral.